Molecule: long non-coding RNA, 360 nt
Organism: Limulus polyphemus (Atlantic horseshoe crab)
Lineage: Eukaryota; Metazoa; Arthropoda; Merostomata; Xiphosura; Limulidae
Exons: 3
Source: RefSeq, a predicted model, not a curated record
UACGGAAACCGAUGCGUGAUGCAGUCCCAUUAUUGCGGAAAAAUUAUGCGUGAGGAUCCAUUAGAAUCUUGUCUGUAGAGUGUACUAGAUGAUGACACUACCGCCACCUACUGAGAACAUCAAACAAAAGCAUGUUAUAAUAUGAUAUUUAUUGUUGAACGUCCGAAAACCCUAACUUAUUUCAUUUAACAAACAUAAUCUUUGUUUCUUCUACAUUAUCCUGUCGUCGCUUUAAACUGAUUUUAAUUCGUGUUCGGCAACAAAUUUUACAAGUAAUCUUCAAAGAAAAUCUACUUGGCAAAACUAUUCUCAACAACUGUAUGUACAAGGCUUGAAAAUAAAAAUAAAAUAGUGAAUUGA